This 762-nucleotide ribosomal RNA is filed under the name uncultured Actinomycetes bacterium. RNAcentral's name for it is "bacterial SSU rRNA". It matches the Rfam family "Bacterial small subunit ribosomal RNA", at positions 751 to 1533 of the family's 1533-position model. The record is from RNAcentral. Lineage: Bacteria; Bacillati; Actinomycetota; Actinomycetes.
ACACGAAAGCGUGGGUAGCAAACAGGAUUAGAUACCCUGGUAGUCCACGCCCUAAACGAUGCAUAUUUGGUGUGGGCCAUUCACUUGGUCCGUGCCGGAGCUAACGCGUUAAAUAUGCCGCCUGGGGAGUACAGUCGCAAGGCUGAAACUCAAAGGAAUUGACGGGGGCCCGCACAAGCGGUGGAGCAUGUGGUUCAAUUCGACGCAACGCGAAGAACCUUACCUGGGCUCGAAAUGCUUAAGAUCAUCUUUGGAAACAGAGACUUCCCGCAAGGGACUUGAGUAUAGGUGCUGCAUGGCUGUCGUCAGCUCGUGUCGUGAGAUGUUGGGUUAAGUCCCGCAACGAGCGCAACCCUUGUCCUGUGUUGCCAUACCGAAAGGUGGAACUCGCAGGAGACCGCCAGGGAUAACCUGGAGGAAGGUGGGGAUGACGUCAAGUCCUCAUGGCCUUUAUGUCCAGGGCUACACACGUGCUACAAUGGACGGUACAAAGCGCUGCCAACCCGCAAGGGGGAGCCAAUCGCAAAAAACCGUUCUCAGUUCGGAUUGCAGGCUGCAACUCGCCUGCAUGGAGCUGGAAUCGCUAGUAAUGCCGUAUCAGAACGAUGGCGUGAAUACGUUCCCGGGCCUUGUACACACCGCCCGUCACAUCACGAAAGUGGAUUGUACUAGAAGUCUGCAGGCUGACCCGCAAGGGAGUCAGCGGCCCAAGGUAUGAUUCAUGAUUGGGGUGAAGUCGUAACAAGGUACCAAUCCCGCGGC